CUACGGGCGGCUCCAGUGGGGAAUAUUGGGCAAUGGGCGAAAGCCUGACCCAGCAACGCCGCGUGAAGGAAGAAGGCUUUCGGGUCGUAAACUUCUAUCCUAGGUGAAGAUAAUGACGGUAGCCCAGAAGGAAGCCCCGGCUAACUACGUGCCAGCAGCCGCGGUAAUACGUAGGGGGCAAGCGUUGUCCGGAAUGAUUGGGCGUAAAGGGCGCGUAGGCGGCCAUGUAAGUCCGAUGUGAAAGUCCUGCUUUUAAGGAGGGAAUUGCAUUGGAAACUGCGUGGCUUGAGUGCAGGAGAGGUAAGCGGAAUUCCCGGUGUAGCGGUGAAAUGCGUAGAGAUCGGGAGGAACACCAGUGGCGAAGGCGGCUUACUGGACUGUAACUGACGCUGAGGCGCGAAAGUGUGGGGAGCAAACAGGAUUAGAUACCCCGGUAGUC
Molecule: ribosomal RNA, 439 nt
Filed under: uncultured bacterium
Lineage: Bacteria
Description: partial 16S ribosomal RNA
Rfam family: Bacterial small subunit ribosomal RNA
Source: RNAcentral